Molecule: ribosomal RNA, 393 nt
Filed under: uncultured bacterium
Lineage: Bacteria
Description: partial 16S ribosomal RNA
Rfam family: Bacterial small subunit ribosomal RNA
Source: RNAcentral
AUACGGAGGAUGCAAGCGUUAUCCGGAUUUAUUGGGUUUAAAGGGUGCGUAGGCGGUUUGCUAAGCGGGAGGUGAAAUGCCGGCGCUCAACGUCGGAAGUGCCUCCCGAACUGGUGGACUUGAAUGACUCUGCCGUGGGAGGAAUGUGUAGUGUAGCGGUGAAAUGCUUAGAGAUUACACAGAACACCGAUUGCGAAGGCAUCUCACGAAGGGUUGAUUGACGCUGAGGCACGAAGGCGUGGGGAUCAAACAGGAUUAGAUACCCUGGUAGUCCACGCAGUAAACGAUGAUGGCUAACCGCUGGGCUUAUCAGUUCAGUGGCCAAGCGAAAGCGAUAAGCCAUCCACCUGGGGAGUACGACCGCAAGGUUGAAACUCAAAGGAAUUGACGGGG